GACGAACGCUGGCGGCGUGCUUAACACAUGCAAGUCGAACGGAAAGGCCCUGCUUGCAGGGUACUCGAGUGGCGAGCGGGUGAGUAACACGUGGGUGAUCUGCCCUGCACUUCGGGAUAAGCCUGGGAAACUGGGUCUAAUACCGGAUAGGAGCCAUUUUUAGUGUGAUGGUUGGAAAGUUUUUUCGGCGUAGGAUGAGCUCGCGGCCUAUCAGCUUGUUGGUGGGGUAAUGGCCUACCAAGGCGGCGACGGGUAGCCGGCCUGAGAGGGUGGACGGCCACAUUGGGACUGAGAUACGGCCCAGACUCCUACGGGAGGCAGCAGUGGGGAAUAUUGCACAAUGGGCGCAAGCCUGAUGCAGCGACGCCGCGUGGGGGAUGACGGCCUUCGGGUUGUAAACUCCUUUCGCUAGGGACGAAGCUUUUUGUGACGGUACCUAGAUAAGAAGCACCGGCUAACUACGUG
RNAcentral lists this ribosomal RNA (465 nucleotides) under uncultured bacterium. RNAcentral describes it as "partial 16S ribosomal RNA". It matches the Rfam family "Bacterial small subunit ribosomal RNA", at positions 28 to 507 of the family's 1533-position model. The record is from RNAcentral.